UACGGAGGGUGCAAGCGUUAUCCGGAUUCACUGGGUUUAAAGGGAGCGUAGGUGGGAUGGUAAGUCAGUGGUGAAAUCUCCGGGCUUAACUUGGAAACUGCCAUUGAUACUAUCAGUCUUGAAUAUUGUGGAGGUCAGCGGAAUAUGUCAUGUAGCGGUGAAAUGCUUAGAUAUGACAUAGAACACCAAUUGCGAAGGCAGCUGGCUACACAUAUAUUGACACUGAGGCACGAAAGCGUGGGGAUCAAACAGG
This 253-nucleotide ribosomal RNA is filed under the name uncultured bacterium. RNAcentral's name for it is "partial 16S ribosomal RNA". It matches the Rfam family "Bacterial small subunit ribosomal RNA", at positions 524 to 776 of the family's 1533-position model. The record is from RNAcentral.